GGCUCCUUCUGCACAGUGAGGACAAAUAAAAACCCCAAAGACACGCCCCCAGCUACCUGCCUCCUCCAACCACACCCUACCUGCCUUUCGUUAACACUUAGUUGAUCUAUUUCAGUGAUUUAAUCCAAUGAUCAACUCACAGCUCUUAUAAUCUAAUCAGUUCACCUCUGAAGGUUCUUGCAUUGUCUAGCACAUGACAAUGGGUGGUACCUCUUAUAUAAACCUUAACUGUUUAAGUUUUUAUUUAAACAAAGGACAACAAAGAUAAAAAGUAUUUUAUCCUGGAUCACUAAGAGUUUGGUUGUCAAUAACAACAUAGGAAUACACUGGAAAGGCAUGUAAUAUGAUAAAAUGCAUUAUUUGGAAGAAUGGGGAAUACUAGCCUGAUGUUAGGACACUAGCACAGAACAGGCCCAACUAAAGGAUGGGUUCUUCCUGGGAACCAUCUGGAAGACAUGAAGUCAGGAUGUCCUUCUGUCUGCUGCUUUGAUUGCUAUAACUCAGCUGCAGGAUAUAAGUGGGGAGUUCCCUGUAGAACUGGGCGUACCAGCUCUGUUACUCCUCAUUGCCUCUCCCCAAAAUCAGUUCCAAAUCAGUUUUCAUGCAUCAUUUUAACAGCAUCUGAAUCAUUUCUGGAGCUUGACCUAUAAGAGAUUCAAGGAAAUGUGGAUGUGCCAUAUCAUAGAAGGGAAAAUUAGAGGAAGCUGGAUGGAUGUGGAGAUAGUCAUCCAUUUCAGGCCUACAGUGUAGAUGGAAUAUCACGUUGUGAUAGCUGUCUUCAUGAAACUUACUGUCAUGUGUAGGAGAUGAAAACAAAUUGGAUAUUAUUAAGUUAUAAUAUCAAUUCCAGGAACUGGCAAUUCAGAUUGAGAUCUAGAACAGAGUGAUCCACAAGCUCCCACCCCAUGUGGACUGGAUGAGAGUAAGGGUCUUCCUUGCACUGGAUGGAAUCCAAGCUCCUGAAAGAAGACAGGGGUGUGGAUGUGGUGGCAUGAGCCUGGGAAGGAAAAGCUGCAGGUCUCAGUGGCUCCACAGGCUCAGUAUUGCUCUUGAUCCUAAAUCAUUAGGAAGCAAGGGAACAGCAACAACCAGACAGGGGUUUUGAAGCAGGAUUUGGUUCCAAAUCAGAGCUCCAGAUAAAGCAGAACUGUAUUUCCACCUCCUGUUUUGCUUGAUUUUGUGCCUCUUGUUUUUAUUUGUUUCAUUGUUUUUAUUUGGAAAGCCAAAUUUCUUGAAAGCCACCAGUUUUCUUUUCUUUUAUGAGAUAGUUUUAAGUGUCUUGGGAGCAGGACAAGAGCAGUGGCAUUGAGGAAGAGAUACAUGGAGGAAAAUAGGGUUCCAGAUCCCUGAGGUCUCUUUCUGUUGCAGACACUGGGCUGGUGGUAGCCAUCCCAGAGAAAUUCGAUGAUUGCAGGUGAGGGGAGGGGAGUAGCUGUGCUCAGCCAAAAUUCACCUGCUGUGGGAAUGGAGGGAAGGUACAGAAAGGGGUCAGAGGAUUCCUAAAUUAACCUCCUACCUUCUAUUGGGAACAGAUCUGGUGGUUAUACUUAGCUGGUGUAGCUAAGGGAACUGUCAUGUCAUGACCUUUUUUAGUAGGCGGAUCUUUAGAUCUUGUUGUUCCUCUCUGUCCAAAUUUAUUUGCCUUAGGAUUCAAAUACUUUCCAUCUUGUAUUAAGGACUUUAUUCAUCAAUUGAGAUUUUUCUUGACAUAUGCUAAUGAAAGAGCUAAGUUUCUUUAAUUAUCCAACUUGUGAAAACUUGUUAUUUUUAAUGUUUUAACAUUCUCUGUAAAAUACUGUUGACUUUUA
This 1808-nucleotide long non-coding RNA is filed under the name Marmota monax (woodchuck). Lineage: Eukaryota; Metazoa; Chordata; Mammalia; Rodentia; Sciuridae. The record is from RNAcentral.